UGGUCCAGACUUUGAUUAUGGCUCAGGAUGAACGCUAGCUACAGGCUUAACACAUGCAAGUCGAGGGGAAACGACAUCGAAAGCUUGCUUUUGAUGGGCGUCGACCGGCGCACGGGUGAGUAACGCGUAUCCAACCUGCCCACCACUUGGGGAUAACCUUGCGAAAGUAAGACUAAUACCCAAUGAUAUCUCUAGAAGACAUCUGAAAGAGAUUAAAGAUUUAUCGGUGAUGGAUGGGGAUGCGUCUGAUUAGCUUGUUGGCGGGGUAACGGCCCACCAAGGCAACGAUCAGUAGGGGUUCUGAGAGGAAGGUCCCCCACAUUGGAACUGAGACACGGUCCAAACUCCUACGGGAGGCAGCAGUGAGGAAUAUUGGUCAAUGGACGAGAGUCUGAACCAGCCAAGUAGCGUGCAGGAUGACGGCCCUAUGGGUUGUAAACUGCUUUUAUAAGGGAAUAAAGUGAGUCUCGUGAGACUUUUUGCAUGUACCUUAUGAAUAAGGACCGGCUAAUUCCGUGCCAGCAGCCGCGGUAAUACGGAAGGUCCGGGCGUUAUCCGGAUUUAUUGGGUUUAAAGGGAGCGUAGGCCGGAGAUUAAGCGUGUUGUGAAAUGUAGACGCUCAACGUCUGCACUGCAGCGCGAACUGGUUUCCUUGAGUACGCACAAAGUGGGCGGAAUUCGUGGUGUAGCGGUGAAAUGCUUAGAUAUCACGAAGAACUCCGAUUGCGAAGGCAGCUCACUGGAGCGCAACUGACGCUGAAGCUCGAAAGUGCGGGUAUCGAACAGGAUUAGAUACCCUGGUAGUCCGCACGGUAAACGAUGGAUGCCCGCUGUUGGUCUGAAUAGGUCAGCGGCCAAGCGAAAGCAUUAAGCAUCCCACCUGGGGAGUACGCCGGCAACGGUGCAACUCAAAGGAAUUGACGGA
This 925-nucleotide ribosomal RNA is filed under the name uncultured bacterium. Its description in RNAcentral is "bacterial SSU rRNA". It matches the Rfam family "Bacterial small subunit ribosomal RNA", at positions 1 to 917 of the family's 1533-position model. The record is from RNAcentral. RNAcentral also lists the same sequence under 1 other name.